GGAAAUCUGGUUGAAGUUAAGGGACCGUUUUUCCUAGCUAAACGAACCUCAAAUAUUCCAACUCAAAAAAGCUAUGGCUAGCCUGUUGCAAGAAAAUGAUUCAGUAAGUAUUUAUUAUGGGAAAUUGAAGUCAAUAUAAGAUAAAUUAUCUAUUUAUGACCUUAUCCCAUCUUGUGAGUGUGGCAAAUUGAAAACACUUCUAGAUCGAUACCAAAUCAAUUGUGUUAUGCAAUUUCUUAUUGGCUUGAAUAAGAAGUAUGCAAAUAUUAGAGACCAAAUUACGCUCAUCGAC
Molecule: long non-coding RNA, 292 nt
Filed under: Olea europaea (common olive)
Lineage: Eukaryota; Viridiplantae; Streptophyta; Magnoliopsida; Lamiales; Oleaceae
Description: long non-coding RNA (OEUR_LNC012139)
Source: RNAcentral